UUACCCUGAUUGUUUAUGCAAAAUGAAUUAUUGAAUCCCCAAUCGAAGUUCUUGAAAGUUGAGAUGGUUAAGAGUUCUGGGCGUUUUGCCAAGGACAAGUGUUGGCUACCGAAACCCAAUCAUCUAGAACCUUCGACCUCAAGUGGUAUUAUCGAAUUUUUCCUAGAAACCCAUGUCGACUGAUUUACGUAAUUGAACGGUUGAACGUCAUUUUAGGGUUGCCAGGGUUCACCGUAAUUAUUCUUUCGUUUCCUAGAACAUAAUCUGUACUUCCGCUGGAUAUCUUGUGAGAAAAACAGCAGAAGCUUCAAUGAGAAGCCACUCUUAAUUUAAAGAAUCGCCGGUACCUUUUCUAAAGAGCCAAACCGGGUUCUCUCAUUCCCUGUUUAGCUUCCGUAUAGACGACGUGGCAUACCUUGUUUGUUGCGAGGAGUUCAGUUCUCGGGAAACGGAAAAGCUCUAUUCAUAAGUAUCUUUCAGGGCAACUCAACUUGAAUCUCUAUUAAGGAUGAUGGAAUUAGAAGCGGAGCUCCUGGUCAAACUGUUAUUUAUUUUUGGAUUAUUGUUCUUACUUUGGGUAUGGUCCUUCUGGAAAGAUGUACAAGACAACAACGAAUUUUAUCCAGAUGGCCUUGAACAAUGUCCUCAAGAGACGUACACGAUUCUUGAAAAUGACAGUAGCAAUAGUAGCAGGAUCAGGUGCUUAUCCUGCCCUGUAUGUCCACCAGGGGAGGAACCAUCACCACCAUGUGGUAUAACAUUGGUCAGAAGGGCAGCUGGUGAGUGUACUUCCUGCAGUCCAGGGACUUAUUCAGAUGAGACUGGCAGUACUGCCUGUAAGGUAUGCUCUGUUUGUGACUCCAGGAAGAUUAUCAACUCCUGUACUGCACAGAAAGACACAGAAUGCAAGGACUGCCCAUUGAGGCACUACGAAG
This is a long non-coding RNA of Orbicella faveolata, 935 nucleotides long. The record is from RefSeq and is a predicted model, not a curated record. NCBI's taxonomy places the organism in Eukaryota, Metazoa, Cnidaria, Anthozoa, Scleractinia, Merulinidae.